RNAcentral lists this ribosomal RNA (659 nucleotides) under uncultured Actinomycetes bacterium. RNAcentral's name for it is "SSU rRNA". It matches the Rfam family "Bacterial small subunit ribosomal RNA", at positions 245 to 915 of the family's 1533-position model. The record is from RNAcentral. Lineage: Bacteria; Bacillati; Actinomycetota; Actinomycetes.
CUAGUUGGCGGGGUAAUGGCCCACCAAGGCUUUGAUCGGUAGCCGGCCUGAGAGGGCGCACGGCCACACUGGAACUGAAACACGGCCCAGACUCCUACGGGAGGCAGCAGUGGGGAAUAUUGCGCAAUGGGCGAAAGCCUGACGCAGCGACGCCGCGUGGGGGAUGAAGGCCUUCGGGUUGUAAACCCCUUUCAGCAGGGACGAAGCGAAAGUGACGGUACCUGCAGAAGAAGCGCCGGCUAACUACGUGCCAGCAGCCGCGGUAACACGUAGGGCGCAAGCGUUGUCCGGAAUUAUUGGGCGUAAAGAGCUCGUAGGCGGUCUGUUGCGUCCGCUGUGAAAACUCGGGGCUUAACCCCGAGCCUGCAGUGGAUACGGGCAGACUAGAGGUAGGUAGGGGAGAAUGGAAUUCCCGGUGUAGCGGUGAAAUGCGCAGAUAUCGGGAGGAACACCGGUGGCGAAGGCGGUUCUCUGGGCCUUACCUGACGCUGAGGAGCGAAAGCGUGGGGAGCAAACAGGAUUAGAUACCCUGGUAGUCCACGCCGUAAACGUUGGGCGCUAGGUGUGGGGUCCUUCCACGGAUUCCGUGCCGCAGCUAACGCAUUAAGCGCCCCGCCUGGGGAGUACGGCCGCAAGAUUAAAACUCAAAGGAAUUGACG